GAUGAACGCUGGCGGCGUGCCUAAUACAUGCAAGUCGAGCAAACGGACGAGAAGCUUGCUUCUCUGAUGUUAGCGGCGGACGGGUGAGUAACACGUGGAUAACCUACCUAUAAGACUGGGAUAACUUCGGGAAACCGGAGCUAAUACCGGAUAAUAUUUUGAACCGCAUGGUUCAAAAGUGAAAGACGGUCUUGCUGUCACUUAUAGAUGGAUCCGCGCUGCAUUAGCUAGUUGGUAAGGUAACGGCUUACCAAGGCAACGAUGCAUAGCCGACCUGAGAGGGUGAUCGGCCACACUGGAACUGAGACACGGUCCAGACUCCUACGGGAGGCAGCAGUAGGGAAUCUUCCGCAAUGGGCGAAAGCCUGACGGAGCAACGCCGCGUGAGUGGUGAAGGUCUUCGGAUCGUAAAACUCUGUUAUUAGGGAAGAACAUAUGUGUAAGUAACUGUGCACAUCUUGACGGUACCUAAUCAGAAAGCCACGGCUAACUACGUG
Molecule: ribosomal RNA, 497 nt
Filed under: uncultured bacterium
Lineage: Bacteria
Description: partial 16S ribosomal RNA
Rfam family: Bacterial small subunit ribosomal RNA
Source: RNAcentral